Long non-coding RNA from Felis catus (domestic cat), 887 nucleotides. RefSeq lists it as uncharacterized. The record is from RefSeq and is a predicted model, not a curated record. NCBI's taxonomy places the organism in Eukaryota, Metazoa, Chordata, Mammalia, Carnivora, Felidae. The transcript has 4 exons.
GUUGCUCAGAGGGACUGGGUGAGAGUGAUGGGUUUUCUGCCUCUGGGGUGUCCAUGCUGAGGCUAGAUGCCAACUUGUUUGUGACAUCAACGAUAUUAUGGAGGGUUUAUGGUGGGUUGAGUGUUGGAGGAGAACAGUGGUUUCCAGACCAUCCAACAUCCCCCAAACUGCUGUUGUAGGAUAAAGAGUGUUAUGGAAAACCCAUAACAGUGCUGGGAAACAAGACGGAACUCUCAAUGACCUGAAAUUUUGAGGAACCCUAGUAAGAUGGAUGACCAGUAAAAUUGGAUGAAAGGGGAGUCCUGCCCCAAGUGAAGGUAGAAAGGCUGUGCUGUAAAAUAGAGACCAAGCUCUUUUUAGGAUUCCAAGAUCUGAGACUGCUGACAAAGGAGACUGAAGUAGUUCCAAGGAUGGUAGUUUGGAAACCUGAGUAAGAGUGGCCCCACCACUAAUGGUCCAGCUGUGUUGCACCUGCAUAAGAGUGACCCCACCACUCAUGGUACAGCUGUGUUGCACAGCAGCCAGCAAAAUGGCCACUCAGAGACAACCUUUCAAAGAGCUGCUUGGGGGUGUGUAGGAUAAUGAAUAGAGGAUUGGGCAAGCUGCUGGAUCAGAAGAUAAAAGAAGUCUCCUUUACAGAUGGCCCAUCCUCAGCAUUGGCUUGAAGACACAUAGAUCUUAUCCAAAAUGUCUGUCUGAGGAACUACUGAAUUUCCUUUUACUUUAACAACUGGAUGAAUGCAACUCAGUUCAACUGUCAUUUCCCUCUAGUGAUUAUUCAUUACAGAUGACUGAUAAAUAGUUCAAAAAGUCAUGCUUACACAAUGUUGAAUACCAACUUUAAAAUGUAUUACUUCAACAAUUUCAAAUAAACUUCCAAGCAAGAA